RNAcentral lists this ribosomal RNA (439 nucleotides) under uncultured bacterium. RNAcentral describes it as "partial 16S ribosomal RNA". It matches the Rfam family "Bacterial small subunit ribosomal RNA", at positions 339 to 795 of the family's 1533-position model. The record is from RNAcentral.
CUACGGGUUGCUGCAGUGAGGAAUAUUGCACAAUGGGGGGAACCCUGAUGCAGCAACGCCGUGUGGAGGAUGACGCAUUUCGGUGUGUAAACUCCUUUUGUAUGUCAAGAAAAUGACGGUAGCAUAUGAAUAAGCACCGGCUAACUCCGUGCCAGCAGCCGCGGUAAUACGGAGGGUGCAAGCGUUACUCGGAAUCACUGGGCGUAAGGGACGCGUAGGCGGGUUGGAAAGUCAGGUGUGAAAUCCUACAGCUUAACUGUAGAACUGCACUUGAAACUUCUAAUCUAGAGUAUGGGAGGGGGAGAUGGAAUUAGUGGUGUAGGGGUAAAAUCCGUAGAUAUCACUAGGAAUACCUAAAGCGAAGGCGAUCUCCUGGAACAUUACUGACGCUAAGGCGUGAAAGCGUGGGGAGCAAACAGGAUUAAAUACCCCCGUAGUC